UACCCGCAGCUCAAGUGGCGGUCAUUAUUAUUGGGCCUAAAGCGUCCGUAGCUGGUUUGUUAAAUGCCUGGGUAAAUCGAUGCGCUUAACGUAUCGAAUUCCGGGUAGACUGGCAAACUCGAGACCGGGAGAGGUGUAGGCUACUCGAGGGGUAGGGGUAAAAUCCUGUAAUCCUUCGGGGAGGACCAGUGGCGAAGGCGCUACACUAGAACGGCUCUGACAGUGAGGGACGAAGCCCUGGGGCGCAAACCGG
This 253-nucleotide ribosomal RNA is filed under the name uncultured bacterium. Its description in RNAcentral is "partial 16S ribosomal RNA". It matches the Rfam family "Archaeal small subunit ribosomal RNA", at positions 474 to 727 of the family's 1478-position model. The record is from RNAcentral.